Molecule: ribosomal RNA, 400 nt
Filed under: uncultured bacterium
Lineage: Bacteria
Description: bacterial SSU rRNA
Rfam family: Bacterial small subunit ribosomal RNA
Source: RNAcentral
UGGGGAAUUUUGCGCAAUGGACGAAAGUCUGACGCAGCAACGCCGCGUGGAGGAUGAAGGUCUUUGGACUGUAAACUUCUGUUAAUUGGGAAGAAAGAAUACGGUAUAAUACAUCGUAUUUAUGACGUUACCGGUAAAGAAAGUCCCGGCUAACUUCGUGCCAGCAGCCGCGGUAAUACGAAGGGGACAAGCGUUAUUCGGAAUGAUUGGGUGUAAAGGGCGUGUAGGCGGUGCGAUAAGUUUGUUGUUUAAUUCUUCGGCCUAACUGAAGAGAUGCGAUAAAUACUGUUGUGCUAGAGUUUGAAAGAGAAAAGUGGAAUUCUCGGAGUAGCGGUUAAAUGCGUAGAUCUCGAGAGGAACGCCAAUGGCGAAGGCAGCUUUUUGGUUCAAUACUGACGCU